Molecule: long non-coding RNA, 3253 nt
Filed under: Aquilegia coerulea
Lineage: Eukaryota; Viridiplantae; Streptophyta; Magnoliopsida; Ranunculales; Ranunculaceae
Description: long non-coding RNA (ACOE_LNC001160)
Source: RNAcentral
AAAGGAGUUAGAACCAUAGGAUUGUUAUUACAUAUCACUAGAACUAUCAAAGAGUUAUCUCAAACUUAAUUUCUCUUCAUGUACUUGCAACAGAGAAUGAAGUCUUUUCUUCUCCAACUCUCUCUCCGACUUCCCGUCUCUGCAAAUUUCUCACAUCUUCUUGUACUUUCAAUAGUUAUAUUUUUUAUUUAAUUUCUCACCCAUCUUCUUCUUAAUUGCAUCCUACUCUUCCUUUUGCAUACUCGAACUAUAAACCCUAGUUCAAAUUUGGGUUUGGUGGGUUCAAUUUAUUGCAGUUUAGAACCAAUUGGCUCUCUCUCUCUCUCUCUCUCUCUCUCUCUCUCUCUCUCUCUCUCUCUCUCUCUCUCUCUCUCUCUCUCUCUCUCUCUCUCUCUCUCUCUCUCUCUCAGCAUCAAUCAAUUGAACUAGGUUUUGUUCUUAUUCAAUGAUAAUUUAUUCUAAAUUCCAUCAAUUUUGUAAACUUUUAAUAGCUUUAGAUGUUUGUAUGAGGAAACAAAAGCAAACAUAAGAAGAUUUUUGGUAGAAAAGUUACAGAAAUUGCAGACGGAAUUAGCCUUCAUUCACAAUGCAAACUCAAAACUAAGGUUAGUUGGUCCAACUGUUCAUUUAGUAGUAGAAGAAGAUGUUGAAACUUAUUAAUAUUGGUUUGAUAAUAUUCAAAAUUUUAUAAUUAAUUUCAGAAAUGUUGUGUUUUUAUGUACAAGAAUCAAUUUUGGAAGGAGGACAAACAGUUUUAGGGUCGGCAAUUCAAGCUAUCGUGGUAGUUGGGGUCGGCAAUUGUUCGAGGAGUUGCACACAUUUAAGAAGAAGAAAAAGAUACAAAAGUUAGAAGAAGAAGAAGAACGAACAGAGUAGUUGGGGUCGGCAAUUGUGCGAGCAGUUGCACACAUUUAAGAAGAAGAAAAAGUUACAAAGGUUAAAGGAAGAAGAAGAAACAGAACCGACAAAAAACAAACUAGUGAGUGGACUCUAAUUUGGAUAAAUUAUUUUUAAUGUGAUUUUGAUGCGCCUUGGUCAUGUACAUUAGAAUAUGGUUACUGUUGGUUUUAAUAUCCUAUACAUAUAUCAUGAUGAUAGUGAAAUUGUAUGUAUAUUAGCUUUAUUUUAAGUUUCAACAGAUCAACUUCCUGAAAGUUGGCAUGUGGCAGUGGCAUUCACAAACUCAGAUAAUAUGUUGCAUAUAAUCAAUAGAGUUCAGAGCUAAGAUAACAUUUGAUUCUCCUCCAUGACCAUUUCUAUAAUUAAACAUAAUAGUGCUUUAUUUUUAUUUUUUUCAAAUGCAAAGAAAUAGCUUAUUUUAAAAUAAAGGCUUAUUUUCCAUUUGUAUAAAAAUUUGAGGAAGGCUUUUAUAUAAAUUGAUAUACAAUUCUAGGCACGCUUUCUUCAUUAAGGGGCAGCAAGCAAUUGAUAUAGCCAUUAUGGAAAGAGUACUACUAUGAUAGCUUGAAUAUAUAUAUAUAGUAAAAAACCACAAUUUUUACGAUUAUUUAUGCAAACUAGUCUACCUAUUUCUAACGUUAGUCCCCAUCGUGUCACGGUUCUAUAUUUAUACAAUUCAUCAGUUUGUAAACUACAAUUGAAGUAAUUGUAAGUCUGUAACAACUGAAGAAUGUAUGAAUUUACUUUCCAAUACCUCUUGUUUUGUUUAUCUUUUUAAUUUAUUAAUUUUGGUGGCGGUAUGUUUUGUUUAUUUUUUCAAAAAAAUAAAAAAAAAAUCGCAAGCAAAUGCUAGUAUAUCGAACAAUGUUCACAUGAUAUUUAAAUUUCACAGUACUCUAGCUUUAGGGUCCUUUGCAGUAUCGAGACUUUGAUAAAGAACUUCAUUUUUACUUGAAGGUAAUUUAUAUUAGAAAUUUUAAUUGUAGUGCAUAAUACAUGACAGUGUAGUGUGAGCCACCCAAAUACAAUAUUUGUGUUACAGCCCAACCUGCUGACCUGUCACAUAUAAUAUUGGCUUAAGAUUUUGCAGCAAUGCAAAAUGCUCUUGUGUGGUCGAUUCCACCUAAUUAUGCCAUCCAUUCAAUUACCAGGACACAGUUUAAGUUUCAAUACUAUAGAUAUUGGAACUUAAGUAUGUUGCUGGCAUCAUUUUUUGAAUCAUUUGCAUUGAGCAUAGUCGAAAACUAUAUACAUGAAAUUAUUUUCUGGUAAAUCCUAUUCAUUAUAUUGUUUAAGCUGAUACUUAAUGUAACACCCCGGGUCAGCAGGUGGUUUGCCGAGGGGGUGGAUCCUACGACACCUAAGAGGAGGAUGUCCUGACAUUGGAAUAUAGGUAUAGAUCCGUCAUAUAUAAUCACCGAGGCCUUUUGGGCUCACUUGGCUACAGAGUUCGAAAGAACUCCAGAGUUAAGCGUGCUCGGGUGGGAGUAGUCUCAGGAUGGGUCACCUCCUGGGAAGCAGGUUGUUGCCCAUAAAACCCCACACUGUCGGAUGUCCGCAGUGGUUAAGUGGGGACAAUAUCGGUGGUGAUAUAGGUCGGGUCGCUACAAAUGGUAUCAGAGCCGACGACGGUUCUCCUGUCGAGGGUGGGAGAGUAUGCUGGAAAGGCGCCUAGGUCGGUAAAGGGGUGACGGUUGCGCCGGGUACUCGUCUCGCGAGGGGCGGGGAACGUCGGAGAUCUGGGACUGUAUAUUCCAGAGCCGAGGACGACUCUCCUCUAAGGUGGUGGGAUUGUAACACCCCGGGUCGGCAGGUGGUUUGCCGAGGGGGUGGAUCCUACGACACCUAAGAGGAAGAUGUCCUGACAUUGGAAUAUAGGUAUAGAUCCGUCAUAUAUAAUCACCGAGGCCUUUUGCGCUCACUUGGAUACAGAGUUCGAAAGAACUCUAAAGUUAAGUGUGCUCGGGUGGGAGUAGUCUCAGGAUGGGUCACCUCCUGGGAAGCAGGCUGCUGCCCAUAAAACCCCACACUAUCGGAUGUCCGUAGUGGUUAAGUGGGGACAAUAUCGGUGGUGAUAUAGGUCGGGUCGCUAUACUUAAGUUUAUAUCUUUGUCCCUACAGGUCUUACAAAGGAUGUACUUAGUGUUUCGUUUAGCCCUGAUGGGUAACAUCUGGCUAGUGGACCUACACUUGUACAGGUUAGAUUUUAAGUGUUUCCUAUUGCAUAUACCCGAUUAGCUAUGUUGCCUAGACUCCUCCAUUUUUUACACCAAGGUGAUACCAUAGUGACUUUUGAAUGAAAAUGCCAAAGAUAGAUUCAAUUUGUUAUCUAGUGAAUGCUGGUAAAUAAAAG